GGGGCGUGCGCCGCGGGACUCGAGUCGGGCGUAUCUCUCCGCGUGGCCGACGCGGGCGUGCGUAGUACCCUUCGCCGCCCGUCGCCCUUGCGGCCACUGCUACGCUUCUCUUCUCUGCCUUUUUUGGAGAAAACGCUGUCGCGUGCGUCGUCCAGAGGCUCUCCCCCAGGAGGCAGGCGAAAGAGCGGGGCCCUCCUGGGCUGGAGGAGUCUCGGGUGAUGAAAGGCCCGCGUGUUUCAGGCUGACGUCGUGAGAUGCGUCGUCCCCGCGUCGCGACAUCCCUGGGACCGGGAGGCCCCGUUCAAUUGGCAGCUUUUUCUCCUUCCAGGGAACCGAUGACCCUAGGUUGGCUGACAUCAGUCGCUAGACCCGCAGCCCGCAGGCCCCGUUAGUCCCUGAACUGGCUUUCAUGGCCCAAGGUGUCUGUCAGUACUGCUGGGAAAGCUGCCUGUCCUGGACAUUUGCCAUCUGCUGCACCCAGUCCCGAGACCCCAACUCGGUCAUCCGAAGAAGCCACAUCUCUGGACAGCCCAGGAUCACCAGACACCUGAGAAAGAAGAAAAGGGACUCAGAAGAAACAGAGACGAUAAAGGAAGCCGAAGAAAAAUGAAAACUAAAAUGCCAUUCUCAGUCAAUAAAAAGGAACUGGGGGCUAUAGAGAAAGAAACCUCGGGAUGAGAAAGAGCUCUUAGAAAUAAAACAUGAGGGGAAAGUGAGCAAUUCAAUAGGCUUUUAAGAUGAAGUCUUCCAGAAUGUAUAAUGACAGAACCAGAUAGCUGGAAAACAGAAUAGCAGUAACACAGGUGGGUGCUCUUAGGGCUAGCCUGGCACACAAGGCCUCCACAAUGGAGGGGGUGGAUGGGAGGUGGGGGGCUGGUCUGCCACCACCACCAGGGGAAGCCACAGGCACCACCCUCUGGGGACAGCUUCCCUUGGCAAUAAUGUGCACGCAGGAUGCAUGGUGCCCAGGACUGUUCUUACACACAUUCAUUCAUGGGAUCCUCACAACCCAGUGCUAUGCAAUGGAUACAGCUGUUACCCCAUUUUUACUGAUGGGCAACAUCACAAGGCAGGGAGCAGCAGUAGAAUGGCUCCAGAGCCUGUGUUCUUGCCACCACCAUGACUGCAUCUCAAAAGAGAAGUCCAGGUCAGGCACAGUGGCUCAUGCCUGCCUUCCCAGCACUUCAGGAGGCUGAGGCAGGAGUAUCACUUGGGCCCAGGGGUUCAAGACCAGCUUGGGCAAUAUAGUGAGGCCACGUCUCUACAAAAAGUAAUUUUAAAAAACCAGCUGGGCAUGGUGGCACACGCCUGUAGUCCUAGCUACUAGAGAGGCUAAGGUGGGAGGAUUGCUGGAGCCCAGAAGGUGGAGGUUGCAGUGCCCUGUGAUCACACCACUGCACUCCAGCCUGGGUGACAGAGCCAGACCCUGUCUCAAAAAAACAACAAAAACUCAACAGAAGUCCAACAUCUAAAUAAAUUGUCCA
This 1484-nucleotide long non-coding RNA is filed under the name Homo sapiens (human). RNAcentral describes it as "HSALNT0350703". The record is from RNAcentral. Lineage: Eukaryota; Metazoa; Chordata; Mammalia; Primates; Hominidae.